Molecule: long non-coding RNA, 1075 nt
Filed under: Setaria italica (foxtail millet)
Lineage: Eukaryota; Viridiplantae; Streptophyta; Magnoliopsida; Poales; Poaceae
Description: long non-coding RNA (SITA_LNC003527)
Source: RNAcentral
UAUUGCGCGCACUACCAUUCACCACAUCCACUAUUUUAUUUUCACAUUUCACAUUGAUAACCCGCAAUUUCGGCCGGUGACAUCUCAUAUAGGUAAUGUUUACAAGAAUUUUGAUCGAGAUGUGUUUUUACAAACAAUAUUUACACCGAAUUUAAUGGUUAUUACUUAAGGGUAUCACAUUGCUAAGAGACAGAGGGAGGUGGUGGCUAGUUGGAUUUUAGGCGUAAGGAAAAUUACACAAUCUCAAGUAACUAUUGAGAAUGAGAAAACUUCCCACGCUCAAAACUAGAGCAUGCAUGAGUGUUUCCCUUGAGCAUAUAUAGCAACCCUAAAUUCGCUCUCAUCCACUCAUAUAGAACACUUAUUCUUAGACAACCACCUCCUAUAAAUCCACAGUUCAUCUACCUUGCGCCAAGCAAGAAAAACACUUUUGUACACCUCUGCACAUUAGUUCAUCUAUCAUCCAUCCAUGGAGAAGGUGAACACGCGGCUGGUCGUGGUGCUGUUACUGGGCGUGCUGCUGGCAGGGCAGGCGGCCGGCGCCGCGGAAGAAGCGUCGUCGCCGUCGCCGCAGUUGGGCGCAAGCAAGGCUGACUGCGAGGUCUCCGGCACCUGCGAGAUGAAGGCGACGCUCGGCGCCGCCGACCCCACCCGCCCCGGGGCGGUUGCCAACACGUACACCCGCGGCUGCAGCGCGAUCAACCAGUGCCGCGGCUGAUAUCGCCGUCGCCUGCCAACGCCGUGCACGUAUUGCCGCCGCUCCGUCGUCCAUGCAUGCGAACGAAGCUGACUGCUGGUGGUUGUUUCCUAUGUGUCUCGAUUUGUAUGUUAUGAACAUAUUACUACAUCGUGCUAUGAAUAUACUUUGUGAUGAUGUACAUGUACAGGUGUACCACCAUCUAAUUUAGUGUAUUAAGGAUCGGACUUAAUAAAGGUCGGGCUAUAUCAAUAUAUGAUUUUGAGUUAUAAUGAGAUAGAGUUGAGUUGGAUUGUGAAGUCCAUUACCUCCCCUAUCUACAUGUGCGUCCGAUUUUUCUCUUGACCAGAGACAUCAUUUUCUUUCCCAAUUGAAGAC